RNAcentral lists this ribosomal RNA (275 nucleotides) under uncultured Pelotomaculum sp. RNAcentral's name for it is "partial 16S ribosomal RNA". It matches the Rfam family "Bacterial small subunit ribosomal RNA", at positions 1107 to 1382 of the family's 1533-position model. Lineage: Bacteria; Bacillati; Bacillota; Clostridia; Eubacteriales; Desulfotomaculaceae. The record is from RNAcentral.
ACGUUAGUUGCUAACGCGUGAAGGCGAGCACUCUAGACGAACUGCCGUUGACAAAACGGAGGAAGGUGGGGAUGACGUCAAAUCAUCAUGCCCCUUAUGUUCUGGGCUACACACGUGCUACAAUGGCCGGUACAGACGGACGCAAAGCCGCGAGGUGGAGCAAAUCCUAAAAAGCCGGUCUCAGUUCGGAUUGCAGGCUGCAAUUCGCCUGCAUGAAGUCGGAAUCGCUAGUAAUCGCAGGUCAGCAUACUGCGGUGAAUACGUUCCCGGGCCUU